Molecule: ribosomal RNA, 292 nt
Filed under: uncultured bacterium
Lineage: Bacteria
Description: partial 16S ribosomal RNA
Rfam family: Bacterial small subunit ribosomal RNA
Source: RNAcentral
GUGUCAGCCGCCGCGGUAAUACGGAGGGUGCAAGCGUUAUCCGGAUUCACUGGGUUUAAAGGGUGCGUAGGCGGGUUUGUAAGUCAGUGGUGAAAUCCCCGAGCUUAACUUGGGAACUGCCAUUGAUACUGCAAGUCUUGAAUUUUCUGGAGGUAAGCGGAAUAUGUCAUGUAGCGGUGAAAUGCUUAGAUAUGACAUAGAACACCCAUUGCGAAGGCAGCUUACUACGGGAAUAUUGACGCUGAGGCACGAAAGCGUGGGGAUCAAACAGGAUUAGAUACCCCCGUAGUCC